GACGAACGCUGGCGGCGUGCCUAACACAUGCAAGUCGAGCGAAUGAAGUUCCUUCGGGACUGGAUUUAGCGGCGGACGGGUGAGUAACACGUGGGCAACCUGCCUCAUAGAGGGGAAUAGCCUCCCGAAAGGGAGAUUAAUACCGCAUAAGAUUGUAGUACCGCAUGAUACAGCAAUUAAAGGAGCAAUCCGCUAUGAGAUGGGCCCGCGGCGCAUUAGCUAGUUGGUGAGGUAAUGGCUCACCAAGGCGACGAUGCGUAGCCGACCUGAGAGGGUGAUCGGCCACAGUGGGACUGAGACACGGCCCAGACUCCUACGGGAGGCAGCAGUGGGGAAUAUUGCACAAUGGGGGAAGCCCUGAUGCAGCAACGCCGCGUGAGUGAUGACGGCCUUCGGGUUGUAAAGCUCUGUCUUCAGGGACGAUAAUGACGGUACCUGAGGAGGAAGCCACGGCUAACUACGUG
Molecule: ribosomal RNA, 464 nt
Filed under: uncultured bacterium
Lineage: Bacteria
Description: partial 16S ribosomal RNA
Rfam family: Bacterial small subunit ribosomal RNA
Source: RNAcentral